RNAcentral lists this ribosomal RNA (379 nucleotides) under uncultured eukaryote. RNAcentral's name for it is "partial 18S ribosomal RNA". It matches the Rfam family "Eukaryotic small subunit ribosomal RNA", at positions 592 to 976 of the family's 1831-position model. The record is from RNAcentral.
CAAUAGCGUAUAUUUAAGUUGUUGCAGUUAAAAAGCUCGUAGUUGGAUUUCGGAUGGGAUUUGCCGGUCCGUCGUUGCGAUGUGCACUGGCCAAUCCCAUCUUGUUGUCGGGGACUAGCUCCUGGGCUUCACUGUCCGGGACUAGGAGCUGACGAGGUUACUUUGAGUAAAUUAGAGUGUUCAAAGCAAGCCUACGCUCUGAAUACAUUAGCAUGGAAUAACACGAUAGGACUCUGGCUUAUCUUGUUGGUCUGUGAGACCAGAGUAAUGAUUAAGAGGGACAGUCGGGGACAUUCGUAUUUCAUUGUCAGAGGUGAAAUUCUUGGAUUUAUGAAAGACGAACUUCUGCGAAAGCAUUUGUCAAGGAUGUUUUCAUUAA